UGUGGCUCAAUGGUUGGGCAGCUGCCUAGCAUGCAGAUGGUCACAGGUUCAAUCCCCAGCAAAG
Podarcis lilfordi (Lilford's wall lizard) is the source of this 64-nucleotide non-coding RNA. NCBI's taxonomy places the organism in Eukaryota, Metazoa, Chordata, Lepidosauria, Squamata, Lacertidae. The record is from the annotation of a GenBank genome assembly.